RNAcentral lists this ribosomal RNA (465 nucleotides) under uncultured bacterium. Its description in RNAcentral is "bacterial SSU rRNA". It matches the Rfam family "Bacterial small subunit ribosomal RNA", at positions 330 to 793 of the family's 1533-position model. The record is from RNAcentral.
ACCAGACUCCUACGGGAGGCAGCAGUGAGGAAUAUUGGUCAAUGGCCGAGAGGCUGAACCAGCCAAGUCGCGUGAGGGAAGAAUGUCCUAUGGAUUGUAAACCUCUUUUGUCAGGGAGCAAAGUCACCCACGUGUGGGUGUUGGAGAGUACCUGAAGAAAAAGCAUCGGCUAACUCCGUGCCAGCAGCCGCGGUAAUACGGAGGAUGCGAGCGUUAUCCGGAUUUAUUGGGUUUAAAGGGUGCGUAGGCGGAAGGUUAAGUCAGCGGUAAAAUGUCGGUGCUCAACACCGGCCUGCCGUUGAAACUGGUCUUCUUGAGUGAGCGAGAAGUAUGCGGAAUGCGUGGUGUAGCGGUGAAAUGCAUAGAUAUCACGCAGAACUCCGAUUGCGAAGGCAGCAUACCGGCGCUCAACUGACGCUGAGGCACGAAAGCGUGGGGAUCGAACAGGAUUAGAUACCCGCGUAA